AAUGUUUGAUAAUUGCUAUUAUAAAUCGUUAUUAUUUGAAUAUCGAGUUCAUUGACGUGURCAGGACUUAGUGGUGGGUGUAAAAAAAUUAGCCCCACAUGAAAAAAGGGAUCUGCACGCCACUGAUUUUAAAUAUAAUAAUUCUUAGUCAUCAUUCAUCAAAUUAUCAAAACAUCACUAAAAUUAUGGCGUGGUCCAUGUUCAUUAGUAAAAAUACAAUCUAUUAUUCCAAGAGUUUUGAACGUGGUAAUAUCGUCACCUAAUCAAAAAUUGUGAUUGUGAUUUUUAAAUUUAUAA
Long non-coding RNA from Diuraphis noxia (Russian wheat aphid), 297 nucleotides. RefSeq lists it as uncharacterized. Lineage: Eukaryota; Metazoa; Arthropoda; Insecta; Hemiptera; Aphididae. The record is from RefSeq and is a predicted model, not a curated record.